GGCUGGAUCACCUCCUUUCUAAGGAGCUAGAAGACUGGAUCUUCCAAGCUUACCUAGGUCAAACACAAUCACGUACAACACUGCUAUUCGGUUUUGAGAGACCAGAGUCUUCUCUGGUUUUUUGCUCUUUACAGAUUAAGUGGAUCGUGGAAGCGAUAACACGAUGAUGGGCUUGUAGCUCAGUUGGCUAGAGCACACGACUGAUAAUCGUGAGGUCGCUGGUUCGAGUCCAGCCAGGCCCACCAACCUUUUUUGGGGGUGUAGCUCAGCUGGGAGAGCACCUGCCUUGCACGCAGGGGGUCAUCGGUUCGAUCCCGUUCACCUCCACCAAAAAAUUUGUAGGGACGUCCCGUCGGGGGUGUCUUUACGAUACGGUUCUUUGACAAUUGCAUAGUGGAUAGUUUAGGUAGUAAAAGCGUAUCAGUGUGCGUUUUUACUUUGAUUGUAUGUUUUGUAGAUUGAUUUCGAUUUUUUAUGGUCAAGCUACUAAGGGCGUACGGUGGAUGCCUAGGCAGAGAGAGGCGAUGAAGGACGUGGUAAAACUGCGAUAAGCUUCGGUGAGCCGUUAAACAGGCUUUGACCCGGAGAUUUCCGAAUGGGGAAACCCGGCAGGGGUAAUGCCCUGUCACUGUGUACUGAAUACAUAGGUACAUAGGGCGAACGAGGGGAACUGAAACAUCUAAGUACCCUCAGGAGAAGAAAACAAUAGUGAUUCCGUAGUAGCGGCGAGCGAACGCGGAGUAGCCCAAACCAGAACUACUUCGGUAUUUCUGGGGUUGCGGGGCCUCAACAUGGGAUUGAUGAAGGGUAGCUGAGCGGUCUGGAAAGGCCGGCCAUAGUGGGUGAUAGCCCCGUAAGCGAAACUCUGAUUCACCUUAGAGGAACCCCAAGUACCGCGGAACACGAGAAAUUCCGUGGGAAUCCGGGAGGACCAUCUCCCAAGGCUAAAUACUCCUCUCUGACCGAUAGUGAACCAGUACCGUGAGGGAAAGGUGAAAGUACUCCGAUAAGGAGGGUGAAAUAGAACCUGAAACCGUAUGCCUACAAGCAGUGGGAGCACCAUGUAUAUCAGGUGUGACCGCGUGCCUUUUGCAUAAUGAGUCAGCGAGUUACUCUUGCUAGCGAGGUUAAGUUCAUAGAACGGAGCCGUAGCGAAAGCGAGUCUUAACUGGGCGUCCAGUUAGCAGGAGUAGACCCGAAACCGGGUGAUCUAUCCAUGGCCAGGGUGAAAGGAAGGUAACACUUCGUGGAGGCCCGAACCCACUGGCGUUGAAAAGCCAGGGGAUGAGCUGUGGAUAGGAGUGAAAGGCUAAUCAAACUCGGAGAUAGCUGGUUUUCCUCGAAAUAUAUUUAGGUAUAGCCUCGCGUAUGCGUAACGGGGGUAGAGCACUGGAUGGGCUAGGGGUCUCACCAGAUUACCAAACCCAAUCAAACUCCGAAUACCGUUAACGAAGAGCGCGGGAGUCAGACGGCGGGUGAUAAGAUCCGUCGUCAAAAGGGAAAGAGCCCAGACCGCCAGCUAAGGUCCCAAAAUCUACGCUAAGUGGAAAACGAUGUGGAAAUGCCCAGACAACCAGGAGGUUGGCUUAGAAGCAGCCACCCUUUAAAGAAAGCGUAAUAGCUCACUGGUCGAGUGGGUCUGCGCGGAAAAUGUAACGGGGCUAAGCGUAGUACCGAAGCUGCGGAUCGACAUCUUAAGAUGCCGGUGGUAGAGGAACAUUGUGUAAGCCUGUGAAGGUCGACCGUGAGGACGGCUGGAGGUAUCACAAGAGAUUAUGCUGACAUGAAGUAGCGAAAAUGCGGGUGAGAAACCUGCACACCGUAAACCCAAGGUUUCCUCCGUAAAGGUAAUCUGCGGAGGGUUAGUCGAUCCCUAAGGCGAGGCCGAAAGGCGUAGUUGAUGGGAAACAGGUUAAUAUUCCUGUACCACCUGUUGUUGCGAUGGGGGGACGGAGAAGGGUAGGCGAGCCGGUUACUGGAUUUCCGGUUUAAGCGUGUAGGGGGGGAGAGUAGGCAAAUCCGCUUUCCCGUUAACCCUGAGACGUGAUGACGAGAGCGUAUGCUCAUAAAGUCGUUGAUCCCAUGCUUCCAAGAAAAGCCUCUAAGCUUCAGACAGCAGGUGAUCGUACCGUAAACCGACUCAGGUGGGUGAGGAGAGAAUCCUAAGGUGAUUGAGAGAACACUGGUUAAGGAACUCGGCAAAAUGACACCGUAACUUCGGGAUAAGGUGUGCCCUCAUUAGGUCUAGCGAUUUGCACGUGAAGCCGAAGAGGGUCGCAGAGAAAUGGCGGUAGCGACUGUUUACUAAAAACAUAGGUCUCUGCUAAGUCGUAAGACGAUGUAUAGGGACUGACGCCUGCCCGGUGCUGGAAGGUUAAGGGGAUUUGUUAGCGCAAGCGAAGCUUUGAACCGAAGCCCCAGUAAACGGCGGCCGUAACUAUAACGGUCCUAAGGUAGCGAAAUUCCUUGUCGGGUAAGUUCCGACCUGCACGAAUGGCGUAACGAUUUCCGCGCUGUCUCAACCAGUGACUCAGCGAAAUUGAAUUCUCGGUGAAGAUGCCGAGUACCCGCGGUAAGACGGAAAGACCCCGUGAACCUUUACUAUAGCUUGACAGUGACAUUCGGAAUAGCUUGUGUAGGAUAGGUGGGAGACUUUGAAGCUGGCACGCCAGUGUCGGUGGAGUCGCCCUUGAAAUACCACCCUGGUUGUUUUGGAUGUCUAACCUUGGCCCGUCAUCCGGGUCGGGGACACUGUCUGGUGGGUAGUUUGACUGGGGCGGUCGCCUCCCAAAGAGUAACGGAGGCGCG
This 2808-nucleotide unclassified non-coding RNA is filed under the name uncultured fungus. RNAcentral's name for it is "sequence contains 18S rRNA gene, ITS1, 5.8S rRNA gene, ITS2, 28S rRNA gene". The stretch from base 477 to 2808 matches the Rfam family "Bacterial large subunit ribosomal RNA", at positions 1 to 2310 of the family's 2925-position model. Lineage: Eukaryota; Fungi. The record is from RNAcentral.